RNAcentral lists this transfer RNA (70 nucleotides) under Dipodomys ordii (Ord's kangaroo rat). It matches the Rfam family "tRNA". Rfam says of the family: Transfer RNA (tRNA) molecules are approximately 80 nucleotides in length. Their secondary structure includes four short double-helical elements and three loops (D, anti-codon, and T loops). Lineage: Eukaryota; Metazoa; Chordata; Mammalia; Rodentia; Heteromyidae. The record is from Rfam by way of RNAcentral.
GGGAAGGUGGCUCAGUGGUAUAGUGCCUGCCUUCAAUGCAUGAGGCCUUGGGUUCAAUUCCUCCACCCCA